Molecule: long non-coding RNA, 1308 nt
Filed under: Macaca fascicularis (crab-eating macaque)
Lineage: Eukaryota; Metazoa; Chordata; Mammalia; Primates; Cercopithecidae
Description: lncRNA (ENSMFAG00000056733.1)
Source: RNAcentral
GUAUUUUCUCCAACAAAACUACAUUAACCUGGAAGUGACUAGGUUAUACUGAAUCUAAAAUGGUGGUGUUAUUCAUCCACUUCGUAUCAGAAGUUGAGGUCCCUGAUGAAAUUAUAGUCAGUACAAAAAUGUAGUUAGAUGGACAAGUUCUAGUAUUUGAUAGUUCAAUAGGAAAAUUAUAGCUAACAACAAUUUCUGUUUAUUUCAAAAUAGCUAGAAGAGAAGAAUUAUAAUGUUCCCAACAAUAAAAAAGACAAAUAUUUGAGGUUAUGAAUAUCCCAAUUACUCGGAUUUGAUCAUUACACAAUGUAUACAUGUAUCAAAGUAUUACAUAUGCCCCCACAAGAUGUGUACAACUAUUAUAUGACAAUGAAAAAUUUUAAAAAUAAAGUUAGUAUGGUGGGAAAGAUUUUCUGAAUAUCUGAUGUGAUUGUAGGCUCUAAAUCAUAUUAAUAUAAAAUGGGUAAUUUAUUGAAUUCAAAGACUACUGUUCUAGCAAUGUUUUGUUUGGUUUUGAGACAGGGUCUUGCUCUGUUGCCCAGGCUGGAGUGCAGUUUGGUGCAAUUGUAGUUCACUUAAGUCUCAAAGUCCUGGGUUCAAGUGAUCUUCCUGCCGCAGCCUUCUGAGAAGGUGCACACCGCACCUAGCUGGUGCUGUGUUUCAAACAUGGGUAUAGAAGGCAGGGAGGCAAGACCUCUGCUCCAAAGGGAAUGCUAGUAAGAGAGAAAAUAAAGCACAAAUGGGUAAUUGAUAUUCAUUAUGGAAAAUAUUCAUGAUACAAAUAUAAAUUCUUAUUAUGGUUUAGGAGGUUUAGAAGGUUUCGGAGGCACACACAGGGAAAAAUCAAUUAAAUGCGGAAGAAUUAGAAAUGUCUUUUGAAUCUAAUUACUUCAAGUACUUGCAACAAUAUUGCCAUUAGUUGGGAAAAUGAUGUUGAAAUCCUAGGUGCCAUCCUUUUAUUAGUGAUGUUCAAUGGAAGAAAGUUCAGAGACCCUCCACUUUUGGAGGCCAACUUGGAGCUACCUGGAAGAAAUAAUUUCUAUUGUGACUUCGAGAUUAACAUGUAGUUAAUUGUGUUAUGUUUGUUAGUAGCAAAUAAUUAUGGUUUAAUAAAACACAUAAGUAGCAUGUCAAAUAUAAAUUUCCUUAGAAAUGAGACUAAACACAUUUCUGUAAACAAGCUGCUUUAAUCCUGUAUUUGAAAUCUAGCGGCAGCUGUGUUAAAAUGGAGGCUCCUUUGAACGAUGAUCUUGACAGAGACCAGAUUCUGGAAUGUUAAAACAUAGCAUAGCAAAAAAAAAAAAAAAA